GUAUAAGAGACAGCAGUAGCCGCGGGAAUACAGAGGGUGCGAGCGUUAAUCGGAUUUACUGGGCGUAAAGCGUGCGUAGGCGGCUUUUUAAGUCGGAUGUGAAAUCCCUGAGCUUAACUUAGGAAUUGCAUUCGAUACUGGGAAGCUAGAGUAUGGGAGAGGAUGGUAGAAUUCCAGGUGUAGCGGUGAAAUGCGUAGAGAUCUGGAGGAAUACCGAUGGCGAAGGCAGCCAUCUGGCCUAAUACUGACGCUGAGGUACGAAAGCAUGGGGAGCAAACAGGAUUAGAUACCCGAGUAGUCCCUGUCUCUUAUAC
Molecule: ribosomal RNA, 314 nt
Filed under: uncultured bacterium
Lineage: Bacteria
Description: partial 16S ribosomal RNA
Rfam family: Bacterial small subunit ribosomal RNA
Source: RNAcentral